Long non-coding RNA from Orcinus orca (killer whale), 1428 nucleotides. RefSeq lists it as uncharacterized. NCBI's taxonomy places the organism in Eukaryota, Metazoa, Chordata, Mammalia, Artiodactyla, Delphinidae. The record is from RefSeq and is a predicted model, not a curated record. The transcript is spliced from 5 exons.
UGCCAAGAGCAAUUAACUCUGCGUCUUUGGAGGGUGGGAGCCUGCAGUAAGCAGAAUAAUGGCCUCCCAAAGAUGUUUAUGUCCUGAUUCCCAGAACCUGUGAAUUCCUUGCUUGCCAAAGGGGAAUUAAGGUAACAGAUGGGAUCAAUGUUGUUAGUUGGCUGACCUGACGUUAGAUUAUUCUGGAAUAUCCAGGUGGGCCCAAUGUAAUCAGAGGUGUCUUUAAAUGGGGGUGGAGGGAAGGAAGCUGAUGAGUCAGUCUUAGAGUGAUGCAGCAGGAGAAAGGCUCAACCGUUGUAGGCUUCGAAGAGAAGGGGACCGCCAGCCAAAAACUCCAGCAGUUUCUGGAAGCCAGAGAAGGCAAGGAAAUGACUUCUCCCCUAGAGCCUCUGGAAAGGAACACAGCCCUUCUGACAUCUUGAGCUUCGUCCAGUGAGACUCAUUUUGGACUUUUGGCCUCCCGGACUGAAGCUGAGCAAUUUUGUAGGAGACCCAGGUCUUCCCAGAGGUUUUCCUGAAGAUAUUUCUGCUACUGUUUCAUUGAAACUGAAGAAAGCCACUAAGGAACUGUGAUGGCAUCCAAAUGCUGUGACUCUGGAUGGAGAUGCUGCUGGCACUGGAAGACAGACGUUGCUUUGGGGUACAGAGAACAUUUAAACAGAAAGUUCCCAAAUUUUUCACUGGAGCUUUCAAAAAACGGUCAAGUCAGCAACUGAACUACAUGUACUAAAAUUGAUAAACUUGAGAAACUGAAACUCUUGAUCUGUUAUCAUGGUAUUUUGAGACAUAUUGACUAAAUCCAAUUACCACGUAAGAAGAAUUACUUCUCUCAGUGAUGGCACUAAAAAAAAUUUUUUGGCAUUGUCGGGUUACAACCUGACAAGUUUUGAGUUUAAAAAGAAAAAAGCUUAUUCUUUCUGCUAUGGAAAAGCCUACUGUUUUGUCAAAAUAUUGCCUGUGAACAGUGAGAGUUAUGUUUAUUUGAAAACAUAAUUCAAAGUUUAUUUUCAUUAUUAAGACAUUUUUAGAGAAUGAUCUUAUUAACACAUAAAUAUUGCUUUCCAAUAUUUAGUGUUCUCUCCAUUUAAAAGUUAAAAAUUAAUAUUUUAAGAUUAUAGCCAAUGUCUAUUCAUUUAGAAAUGGGAAAUGCUUAUGCUACAAGUAAAUGUCUAAUCUAAUUUUACAGUAUUUGGAUGUCUUUUUGGAUGCAAAUGAACAACUGCAUUGCACGUUUACAGAAUUCAAAGCUCAAAACUCAGUGGGGAAUCUCAGUCUGCUCUUCAGAAAGGCACUGUGGGCAAGACUAAUAGGGAAUAUUCCAUUGGUGGUAAUGGGCAAUAAUGCUUUUGCUUUCAAAAAGUUUAUGAAUGUCUGAGAACUAGAAAUGCAAGGAAUUCAGACUUCCUUCAUUGUCUAUACAUGGUCAGC